This is a long non-coding RNA of Loxodonta africana (African savanna elephant), 8600 nucleotides long. RefSeq lists it as uncharacterized. The transcript is spliced from 2 exons. The record is from RefSeq and is a predicted model, not a curated record. Lineage: Eukaryota; Metazoa; Chordata; Mammalia; Proboscidea; Elephantidae.
CUUGUAGAAGUCACGGGACUACAUGCGCGAGUCAAAGUGCGCGGGCAGGUUGUUGAGCACCUCCACCACCAGCAGCGGCGUGCAGGCGCCGGAGAUACCAGUGAAGCCCACGAUGUCAGAGAAGAUGGUCACCUGAGAGCCGGGGACCGACACAGGGCUGCAUGAGAUCUCGGAGGCCCACCUACUUCACAAACCAGGAGCCUGAGACCCAGCGAGGAGCAGGCCACGUUUGCUCUCAGCAGGCCUGGGACAAAAACUUGGGCACCCAGACCCCAUCCCAGUGCUUGGCUGAGUUGGGCUGUGGCUGGAGGCCAAGAGGAGCAACUUUGUCCAUUGUGCCCCUGGGACAUUAGGGGUUGAAGAAGCAGAUAUGAAACUUUUUAGGAUCAAGAUAGGAAAUAUUUCCAGCAUCCCAGAAGGUUCCUUGGAGGCUGUCUGUUCUCAGUACCAUCCCAGAGGUAACCACUAUCUUUACUUCUAUCACUACUGAUGAAUUGGGUAGUAUUAGUAUUUUUUAAAAGGAGCCCUGGUGGCACAGUGGCUAAGCACUCAGCUGCUAACCAAAAGGUCGGAGGUUCAAACCCACCAGCCACUCUGCAGGAGAAAGAUGUGGCAGUCUGCUUCGGUAAAGACUACAGCCUUGGAAGCCCUAUCUGGCAGUUCUGUUCUGUCCUGUAGAGUCACUAUGAGUCAGAAUUGACUGAACAGCAAGGGGUGAAAUAUUUUUAAAUGGUUAACUCGCUCGGCUGCUAACUGAAAUGUUGGAGUUUCAAGUCCACCCAGAGACAUCUCAAAAGAAAGACCUGGCUAUCUAUUUCUGAAAAAUCAGUCACUGAAAACCCUGUGGGGCACAUUUCUGCUCUGACACACAUAGAGUUGCCAUGAGUCAGAAUCGACUUGAUUGCAAGUGGUAACUGGUAGCUUUUCUAACGUCCAGCCAGGGUAGAGUCAAAAAAAACAAACACCCGGCUACAACCGAUGACUGCCCUGACAGGGAGCACAACAGAGAACUCCUGAGGGAGCAGGAGAGCAGUGGGAUGCAGACCCCAAAUUCUCCUAAGACCAGACUUAAUGGUCUGACUGAGACUAGAAGGACCCCAGUGGUCAUGGCCCCCAGACCUUCAAUCGGCCCAGGAGGGGAACCAUUCCCGAAGCCAACUCUUCAGACAUGGAUUGGACUGGACAAUGGGUUGGAGAGGGAUGCUGGUGAGGAGUGAACUUCUUGGAUCAGGCGGACACUUGAGACUAUGUAGGCAUCUCCUGCCUGGAGGGGUGAUGAGAGGGUGGAGGGAGUUAGAAGCUGGCGAAAUGGACACGAAAAGAGAGAGUGGAGGGAGAAAGCAGGCUGUCUCAUUAGGGAGAGAGUAAUUGGGAGUGUGUAGCAAGGUGUAUAUGGGUUUUUGUGUGAGAGACUGACUUGAUUUGUAAACUUUCACUUAAAGCACAAUAAAAAUUAUUAAAAACACACACACACACAAACAAACCCAUUGCUGUCAAGUCAAUUCCAACUCAUAGCGACCCUAUAGGACAGAGUAGAGCUGCUGCAUAGGGUUUCCAAGGAGCAGCUGGUGGAUUCAAGCUGCUGACCUUUUGGUUAGCAGCCGAGCUCUUAAGCACUGUGCCACCAGGGCUCUGAGCCAGGGUAGAGCCAAUAAUAACAAAGGCUGAUCCUGAUUGAGCACUUCCUGAAUGCCUGGCAUUGUGCUAGGUGCACUUCACACACUAACUCAUUGAACCCUCACUCAACCCUAUGGGGUAGAUUCUGUUCCUACCCCUACAGCUCAGAUAGGGAAAUUGAGGCAGAGGAUUUGAAUCUGCACUAGGUGGAGAGAUGUUCACCAGCUGUGCCCACUUGCAAGGUGGGCUCCGUGGUAAAUAGAUCAGAAAUGGGGCCAUUGCAGAGCCAAGGCCAGGGUGGGAUUUGCUCCAUUGUCACCUGGAUCUGGCUUCACCCCACUGCCCACGUGGCCCUGCCUGGAACAGGCUUGCCUGCUCGUAGUUCUCAGCCUUCACGUGCUUGUGCAUGCAGGGCUGCCGGGCCACAGACCUGGGCAGUAUCUGGUGCAGCAGAUUUUCAGCCAGCCACCCCUCCUGCUGCAGGUUCUCAGUCCUCUCCAGAGGCCUUGGGUGUAGGCCUGGCCCAAGCAGGUCAUCUGUCUGAAGGAAACCAGUAUGAUAGAGUGGAAGAGGCUGGCCAUCAGCACCAGGCUGACCUUCAGGCUGACAGUGGAGAGUGCCCCCUCGACCUUGCUGCCCAGUCCCAUGGAGCCAUGCUCCCACAUGCAGCCCUGUGCAGACCCAUGAGGCUCCGGGCCAGGGCCAGUGCUGGUGACAAGCAGACCAUGGAGGAAGGAGGUGAGAGGAAGACAAGGCUGCUCUCAGACAGGGGCCAGAGGAAGAACAGGUUAGCAUUUGCCCUCCAGCAAGCCUGAAGUUUCUCAGAAAGCAUCACUGCAUAGCCAAGGUGGGCGGUGGGUGGUACCAAUGUGCCUGCCCAUGUGGGAGAAGCUGCCAGGUCUGGAGAAGUUCUUGGACCUCAAAGAGGAAGCUCAGGGCCACCAUAUCCACCUAGUCAGGGUUGGUCUUCAGAGCUGUGAGGGACUCACUGGGAGCUUUCCAGGAGUGGUAGCAGCUCAGAGAUGGUGCCUGAGAGCAGCAAGCUGGAUCCUGAGGCUCCGAGCUGCCUUCUGCACAUAGAGGUCACAGGCUAAGCCUGGUUCCUGCUCACACCAGGCCCUGUGGGCACUCACCCUGCCCAGCUUUGCCUGGCAGAGGGCCUCCACCCUGCUGAGCAGCAGCCAUCAGAGAGCCAGGGCCAGUGUCAGCGUUGUCCAUGGGCCCCAGCAGCAGGGCGCUUACUCCUCUCGGAGGAAGCAGAUCAGCAAGGCCAGAAGGAUAUUCCUGCAGCACCGAGUCUGCUCUUGGACCUGCCAUUGGCCCAGGUUAUCCCUCAGGCCCGGGAUGACAGCCCCCAGCAGGGUUGCUUGAGAAAACACACAGGUGGCCAGCAUCCUCCACAGCAGCUGGCUGGCUCUGCAGUAAGCACCACUGGGAUGCUCAGGAAUGGGCCUCGAUGGGGCUGGGAUUCUGGGAGGCAGUAAGAAUUUUACAAUAGCUUCCAGGUAGGGCAAGGAUUCAUGGGAAAGUUGGAGUCCCACAUGGGAGUUCACAGGGCUCAUGGACCGGGGACUAUAUUCACAAUGGUGGCCUUGGCCAAGUUAUGCCCAUCUCCAAGCACCAAUUUCUUCAUCUGCAAACCCCAAAUGAUGAUAACAUUUAUUGCAUUAACUUGAUGUGUGUAAAGCCCUUGGUGCACAGGAGGGGCUCAAUAAAUGUGAAUCAUAAGAUUAAGAAUGAGGGAGAGUAGUGUCCUGGUUGGAGUCCCUGAGUGGUGCACAUGGCUAAUGUGCUCCCUGCUAACUGAAAAGUUGGUGAAAGAUUGGUGGUUUGAGUCCACCCAGAGGCACCUCAGAAGAAAGGCCUGGCAAUCUACUUCCAAAAGAUCUGCCACUGAACACCCUAUGAAACAUAAUUCUACUUUGAGUCACAUGGGGUCGCCAUGAGUCUGACUCUAGGGCAACUGGUUUGGUUUUUAGUGACCUGGUUGAGGGCAUGGACUCUGGAGAGAUUUCCUGGGUUCAAAUCCUGGCUUUGCCACUUUUUAGCUGUGAGCCUUCGCCACCCUGUGCCUCACUUCCUGCUUAUAAAAAUGGAAAUGGUAAUAAGAAUACCUACCUCAUAGGGUUAUUUUGAGGUUUGUUUUGAGGACUAAAGGAGUUAAGCAUAAACCCAUUACCCAUUGCUGUCGAGUCGAUUCCGACUCAUAGCGACUCUAUAGGACAGAGUAGAACUGCCCCAUAGAGUUUCCAAGGGAAAAAAAAGAAAAAACCUGUUGCAGACAAGUCAAUUCCAACUCAUAGUGACCCUGUAGGACAGUAGAACUGCCCUGUUUCCAAGGAGCAACUGGUGGAUUUGAACUGCCAACCUUUUGGUUAGAGCCAAGUUCUUAACCACUUCAAAAUCAGGCCACCUAUAAUACCAGUAUUACCUCUAAUUAUGAAUCGACUCUAUAGCACUGGGUUUGGUUUUGGGUUUUGGUUCUUAUCAGCAGCGCGAAUCUAAUCUCUGCCUUGCCCUCACUUGAAGCAUUUUCAGAGGGAGGCAGACUAAUUCCAUUAUCUGUUGUGCAAAGAGUGAACAGUGUGUGGCUGCUAACAGAAAGGCUGGAGGUUCAAGCCCACCUAGAGGUGCCAGGAAAGAAAGGCCUGGUGAUCUACAUCAGAAAAGUCAGCCAUUGAGAAGCCCCUGGAGCACAUUUCUACUCUGACACACAUGCUGUCGCCGUGAAUGGCAACUGGUUAUCGCAAAACCGAACAGUAAGCAAAUCUACCCGAGUCACAUCUUGUACUCCCAAGCCAAGGCAAAGUGAUUUAAAUCCCUGGAACUACUGUUUUGCCCACUCUAUCCACCUUAAGGAGCCCUGGUAGCACAGCGGCUAAAGCACUCGGCUGCCAACAGAAAGCUCGACGAUUCGAACCCACCAGCUUCUCCGCUGGAAAAGAUAUGGCUGGCAGUCGACUUCCCUAAAGAUUACAGCCUUGAAAAGUAUCAAAUUGAUUGCAGUGGGUUUGGGGCUACUGUUUUGUCUGCUCUAUCCAGGGGCAUGACAGAGUUAACUGGGUUAGGAGGUGGGAGUUGGGGGGAAGGCGGGAAGUGGGAAUGAAGGGGAGCGGACGAAGCCCGACUGGAGAAAGCGCUUGGGUGAGGGGGCGCUCACUGAAGCAGCACACGGCUCUGCCGGUGGGCCCCAGACCCAGCCGCAAGGUUCAAGCCACAAACUCCCGGGCGAUUUAGGGGCCGCCUAGGGUGGAGGUUACAUCUGAUUAUGGGAAGCCAGAUGGCCCAAUGGACGAGUGAUUUGGGGGGCUCGGGGCAGCCCUAGUCCAGGUCUGGCUAGGGAUUCGGGCUGCCCCGGUCGGAUAGCAGAGUGCAGUGGGGACCAUGCGUGGGGAGGGUGGAAGCUGGUCUUGAGGAGCAGGACACCUCCGGAAGGGCCGUGUGCUUGGCAAAUACUGCAGACUUCGAGAAAGAGAAGAAAAAGCGCUCAGGCUCCCCCUCCCUCACCUGCUUUGGUCUCUGCUGCUAUUUAGGGCGCCCCUGCUGCCCUGUUCUCCCCUCAGCUAGUCUGGAGUGGGGCCUGAGAACUUGUACUUCUAACAGGUUACCCAGGAGACGCUGAUGCUACUAGUCCUGGGACCACAUGGUGAAAACCACUGCGUUAAAACACGAUUCUGAUAAUUUACUGUCUUUCAAAACUCUUCAAUGGUUCCCCCUUUGCCCUCGAGGUAAAAUUCAAGCUCUUAGAUGUGGUCCCUGCCUUUUAGCCACUCAGCCUCACACAGCUUACGGGGUCUCUGCCUAGAACACCCUCACCACCCAGGCGUCGCUGAACGUUGUCAUCAGCGCUCAUCACACAGACCUGUCUCCAUGGCAGACUUCCUUGCAUAUUAAAUUUUAGGGAUAUAUUUCUAGUCCUAGGACCCAACACAGAGUUUGACACACAGCUCAAUAAAUUUUUGUUGGAUGAACAAAGACAAUUAUUUUCAAGACUUUUUUUUUCAAAUUCAAAAUAAAGUUUUACUUAGAGCGCCAAUUUUAAAACAAAGUCAGACUCUGCUAGUUGGACCAAGUCUGUAUUCCGUUAAGUCUGGUCUCCGCCCUGCCCCCUUGUGGUGGUCUUGAGCCCAGCGCGAAAACUAUUUCCGGAAACAGGAGGUUGAUGACGCACCUUCAUUUACAUAUCCACAAUGCAUUGCACAGAGGACAAUUUUCGACCUUAAAACUAUUAGAUACACUCCUUUUUUAUAAUAUAGAUAUGAGAAUGCCCUGAUAUAAUUGUCUGUGAAAAAGGAAGAAGUCACUGUUCCUUUCUAGUGACUAGUCACCGCUAGUGAAUUAGGUGUGACAGUUACUCGAGAAAUGCGUUCCGUUGAUCGCAAGCAUACUCUGGUUUCUCUCCAGAAUGUAUCAGUCUUUGGUCUUUUACCAAAGGCGUCUGGAGAUGCAACGAUUGUGAGUAAACGGCACAAAACAACAACAACCAAUUUUUGGAAGCCCUGCGUAGUGGCAGGGCUUACAUUGAGUUAUAAAAAACAGACUUUUUUGUGAAUUUUAGUAAAAUUGGUUUUAAACAUUUUUCUUUUUCAGUUUGUCAGCUUUUUCUGUAAAUUGCUCAUUUUGUUGCGAGAGUUUGGUAAAAUAUUUUAUCGAUAAUUUUUAAAAAAUUAGGUUGCCAGUUUAAAUCAGAUCACCAAGUUAGCAGCAGAGCACUUUCAACCAUUGUACCACCAGGGCUCCUAAGUGUUUCCAUUUUUUAUAAUGAAAUGUUGACACGUUGGAGACCACUAUACAUUAUCACCUGCGUGCUCCUGUGCCUCCCCUGGGCCUGGCACAGAAGUUUCUGGUUUUGCCCAGGCCUUGUAACAUACAAACCAAAAAAAAAUUUUUUUAUUUUUUUUGUUGUUGUAAGUUCAGGCUUGGGCACUGCAUCUCAUUCUAGUAAAUGCCAGGCAAGUCCCAGACACCAUUCUGGGUCCUAAGUGUUGCACUUAUUGUAAGCUUUGACUACUUUUUAAAAUACCAACAAAAAUUCCAUCUGUAGACCCUGGGUUUAGAAGUCCUGACCUGCCUCCAGGUAUACACAACAAAGGAUUCUCCUGUGUGUUGGUAGAGAGUUUUGAAUUUAGCAAAGCACAUUCACCAACAGUCCUUUCUUGGGACUUCCCAGCCAUCUGAUGAAGUUGGAAGGUGUUAGCCCAUUUUAUAGGUGGGAACCUAAUUCACUUGUUUGAGGUCAUACAAUGAUAAUGACACAGCUGAACAUGAAACUCAGGUCCCUGACCCCCAGUCCAGUGCUCAUUCCUUUAUAUCCAACUUCCUUCCCCAAUAAUGUUGCCUAAUUAUCUUUUCUCAAAGUUUUCCUCUGACAGAAGCCACAACCUUUCUCAUGAGCUUACCUGCCCCUCCUCACCUGCCUCACCCUUCUCAUCUGUCCCUCCUCACCUGCCUCCACUCCUCACCUGUCCACCUGGUUUUCUCAGCUUUCAGGUCACACAGCGAGCUAUCACAAGAUUCUCAAGAUGCUGGUGGAUGUUCAGGUGCUGUGAUCUGUAGCGCAGUCUUUCACAUGUUAGCAGAAGGGAUAAUUAACCUAACCUGUUACUGGGGCCACCCUUUGACCUUUGGCAACCCACUCUUUCACUGGGUCUCAGUUUCCACGUUGUAAAAUGGGGCAAUAAAUUGUCUUCCCUUGGUUUUCAGGGGUGCAGUACAGAUUGGCCAAAAUUAUGACAGAAUUUAGGGGAGAGGAAGUGGUAUGCCCACAGGAGACAUUUUUGUCUCCAAUAUUACUGCCAGAGUCCCAGGGUGGUGCAUGUGGUUACCACGCUCAGCUGCUAACCACAGGUAGGGGGUUUCAGUCCACCCAAAAGCCCCUCCGAAGGAAGGCCUGGUCGCCUACUUCUGAAAACUCAGCACGGGAAAUCCUGUAGAGCACAGCUCUGUUCUGACACACAUGGGGUUGCCAUGAGUCGGAGCUGACUCGGUGGCAACUGUUUUUGUUGUUGUUGUUACUGCCAUGAAUUAGGACCAGAGCCUACUCAUUACGCUUAGAAGUCAAUGAUGUGAAGAAAUCAUCUCCAACUCUCUGCAGACAAUCUGAGGUACCAGCUGCUCCCUGGGCGUUUCCGAACGUUCCCACCCGUGUGUUUGCUCACCAUUCCGGCGGCCUGAUGGUCCUCUCCCACGCCCCGUGCAGUGUGAUUGGCCUCACACGCUGAGGCUGCGCAUGCGUGAGUGCUGCGUAUGGGUGCCCGGCAGGUCCCUGCAGAUAAGAGAGCGGUUGAAGCGAAGUGCUGUGGGUGCUUACACCUGCGCAAAGCUCGUUUCCUCAUCUCUCAAAUUGGGAUCCUAACAGCCCCCUUCACCAACUCCUCCUCCCAUAGAGCCACGUUGAUGUAAAACCCUAACAUAAUUCUGACAUAUGGUGAGCUCUGAUUUCUGGAUAUUAGUUCACUGAAAUGCUAAUCAUUCCACCAGUAAGUGUUUGUCGAGCGCCAGGUGCCCGUGUUCACGUCUAUGUUGACGGGAGCCUCUGGCACGCCCAGUACCAAGUUAAAGGCAGGUGAAUGGGAGCUGUCAGGCGUGGCUUUUGUUGUCAAGCAGCUUCCAGUCUAACUGGAGCAACUGGAGCACCUUCCAAACUGUGAAUGACACCAACUGCCCACUAUGAGAGUCUCGCUCCCUGAAGAGGCAGGCAGCCCAUAGGCCGAUGGCAUUUCGCACUGUGUACUACCCGGAGCCGGAAGAGAAGGCUCCUGGGACUCAAGUGGCUGGAAAGACAGGGCGCCUUAUUGUAGAGUCUGCUCUGCUUGUUUACUUUCUCCCACAGCCAUCUGCUGUGGCCAGACUGCAGCUCCUUGGCAAGCAACCUGGUCCCUGGUGAGUCAUGCUGCUUAAACUGCUUGUCUGGGAGCCUGGGAGACAACCAGAACACUGGGGCAGCCCCAAGGUGGGCUGCCACGCCCAGCAGUCCCUGGGAU